GAUAUCAAGAUCGCAUGAUCUUGAUAUUAAAGAAUUUCGGUUAUCGAUGGGGAUGCGUUCCAUUAGUUAGUUGGCGGGGUAACGGCCCACCAAGACGACGAUGGAUAGGGGUUCUGAGAGGAAGGUCCCCCACAUUGGAACUGAGACACGGUCCAAACUCCUACGGAAGGCAGCAG
Molecule: ribosomal RNA, 176 nt
Filed under: uncultured bacterium
Lineage: Bacteria
Description: partial 16S ribosomal RNA
Rfam family: Bacterial small subunit ribosomal RNA
Source: RNAcentral